CUUUAAGUGGGUAAACAGAG
This 20-nucleotide unclassified non-coding RNA is filed under the name Mus musculus (house mouse). RNAcentral's name for it is "oocyte_clustered_small_RNA3182". Lineage: Eukaryota; Metazoa; Chordata; Mammalia; Rodentia; Muridae. The record is from RNAcentral.